RNAcentral lists this unclassified non-coding RNA (200 nucleotides) under soil metagenome. RNAcentral describes it as "partial contains internal transcribed spacer 2 and large subunit ribosomal RNA". The record is from RNAcentral.
UGUCAUGAAAUCUCAAUCCUCCCGGGUUUCCGGGGGAGAUUGGACUUGGGCCUGCCUUCUGGCUUGCCUUAAAUGUGUUAGUGUCCCAAGCUCUGGGUACGGACGUAAUAAGUUUCGUCUGUCCUUGCGGCCGAGGGUGCUUAUAACCCCCAUCUUUCAUCUCUGACCUCAAAUCAGGUAGGACUACCCGCUGAACUUAA